AUGUGAGUGGAGACAGAGAAUAUGGCAGCAAAGUAGUAGAUCUCAAAAUCACUGAGUGGAGUUCUGUCUCAGAUCCAUCUGAUUCAUCAGGUCCAUGGAAGGCUCUUUUCUUCACCGUUCUCAUUGUUCUCAUUUUGAUUCUGAGUUUGGGUGGGUGCCUCUACAAAUACAGAGACAAUCUAACAGGGAAGAAACCACCCAGAGCAAGUAAGUAACAUGAACUUAUUUAUGAAUCUGAU
Molecule: long non-coding RNA, 239 nt
Organism: Sinocyclocheilus anshuiensis
Lineage: Eukaryota; Metazoa; Chordata; Actinopteri; Cypriniformes; Cyprinidae
Exons: 3
Source: RefSeq, a predicted model, not a curated record